Molecule: RNA transcript, 720 nt
Organism: Arabidopsis thaliana (thale cress)
Lineage: Eukaryota; Viridiplantae; Streptophyta; Magnoliopsida; Brassicales; Brassicaceae
Exons: 2
Source: RefSeq
CUGCCACGUGUCGAGCCUUUAACACAACACCUUUAAAAAUCCCUCUGGCUUCGCAAUACUCCUCCGUCUGCUUCGCCGUCUCCUCGUCGUGACUAGUCAUCCCCGUGACCCCGUCGCCACAGCGAACGGUGCGACGCCGUUUAUUCUAAUCCCAUGUUUCCCUAAAUCACCACAAACCUAUUUAAUCAGUCCGACGAGCCCAUGCUUCGACGCCGUGUAUUCAUGAGGUCCCUGACCACGAUCUCCGACGUAACACUGGUCGUACAAACGAUGGAGCCACGUGUGCCUUUCUCCACCAUGGCUCGUGCGGCGUGUUUGAUAGACACAGCCGCUCCACGAACGUUGACAGCCAUUGUUCGGUGAAACCGUUCAAGAUUCAAAUCAAGGAUGCUUCCCGGUGUUUCCAAGACGCCGGGUUGGCUGAAAAGAACGACGCCGGCGUUACUUAACAGAACGUCUAGCUUCCCAUGUUUUUCGACGGUGAACUUAAUGACGCGUCCUCUACUUCCGUCUCGUUUGUAACAUCACAACGGUUGGGAGCCAAGGUGCAGGGGCUUCCUUUGUUUGUCUUGGGCUUGUUUGGCCUGCUUCAGGUUUUCAGUAUUUGGCUCUUUUGUUGUUGGGCCCUCUCUGUGUUGUUUGGGCCUUUGUUUUUAUGUCUCUUUCGGCCUGCGUGCUGUGCUGGACCGUUUGGUCUUGUAACGUUUUUCGGAUUAUUGG